RNAcentral lists this ribosomal RNA (121 nucleotides) under Paracentrotus lividus (common urchin). The record is from RNAcentral. Lineage: Eukaryota; Metazoa; Echinodermata; Echinoidea; Camarodonta; Echinidae.
GACCUACGACCAUACCAUGCUGAAUACACCGGUUCUCGUCCGAUCCCCGAAGUAAAGUAGCAUCGGGCCCGGUUAGUACUUGGAUGGGAGACCGCCUGGGAAUACCGGGUGUUGUAGGCUU